CAUGGAGAAGCCUGAGGUACUUAAUGAUUUUUUUGCCUCAGUUUUCAUUGGCAGCCAGGCUUCUCAUACCUCUUGUAUCCCUGGACCUCCAGGUGGGAACUGGGGAAGUAAAAUCCCCCCACUGUAAAUAAAGAGUGAGUUAGAAACUGCCUCAUGAGGCUGAAUAGGUACGAGUCUAUGGGGCCAGACAACAUGCAUCUGAAGGAACUGGCUGAUGCAGUUGCCAAGACACUCAACAUCAUAUUUGAAAAAUCACGACUGUCAGGUGAAGUCCCCAGUGACUGGAAAAAGGGAAACAUCACUCCCAUUUUUAAGAAAGGGAGAAAGGAAGACCUAGGGAACUACAAGCUGGUGAUCCUCACGUCUGUGCCUGGGAAGAUCAUGGACCAGAUCCUCUAUGAUUCUAUGAUUCUGUGACUUUGAAAUGGCAGACAUUAAUCAAACUUAAAAAUGGCUUACUUGCUUUGUAACUACUUUCCUCCACUGUGUACAUUUCAACUGUUUUGUGAAUCUAUGUGUUAGUUCUCCUCUAUGCAAAAUUUUCUAGUUCAAACUUGACAUAUAACCUAUCAGAACAACCAUUAAUAUUGUAUUAUCAAAAAUGGCUAUAAAGAAAACUUACAGAGUUGAUAGUAGAAUUUAUAAAUAUUUUUUCAAGUGGAAAAAAUGAAUCUUAAAUACAAUCUAAACAUAGUAAGUGUUUUAUAAAGAGUAUGAAAAACUAAUACAAAAAAUAUUUUCAUUUUUAAACAAAAAAAUUUCUUUUUGACAAACAAAAAGUAUUUAAUGUACUAAAAUACAGUAUAACUGGAUGAUCAUACUGACUCCUAGUCUCAGCUAAAUAUUUUCACUGGCUUUUAGCACAGUGCUUAAAAUAAGUGAACGAUGAAACAAAAAAAUUAAGCUUAAAUCCAAACUGAUGUAUAGUGAGCGUUAGGAGCCUGUAUGUCUUUGAUCUUGUUUUAAUCCACUUUUCUCUGGUCGUCAGAUAUUUAACAUCAUGGGGCAUAUCGUCAACUUGUGUAAUUUGUUAUAGUGCUAUUGAAAGUUAAUGGAGCUGAAAUGCCAGCUGAAGGUCUGCCUCCAUAACAGUUCAGCUAAUGUACACAAAUCUGUAGAGCUAUUACAAGUCUUUUCUUCAUAAAUGCCUUUCUGAGACCUUUUUCUGCUUGCUUUUACAUUUGAUUAAUUGCAUAGGAAUUGAGGAAAGAGGGCAGCAUCUUCUAAUUGUAACUACCAUACAGACAAUUCAAAUCUAAAUUGAAGUGCAUAAAAAGGAAACGUCUCCUAUUCCUAAUCCACCAUUCAUAUUGUUCCAAUUCAUCUCAUUUUGCAGACAGUAAGAAGCCAGCUUUAACUUGUAGUGAAGUUCUGUAGUCUUAGUAAUGGGAGUUGGACAUCUUCCUAAUACCUUACAUGAGCUUACAUAGCCUUUUCAUGAGCUAGAGAGUCUGUCACUGGCCCCAGGAAUUCAAAGAGACUGAGAAUGCAAAACUUAAUUCUUAAAUUAGAGUUUUAGUCAUAUGUAAGUUGUUUCUCUGGAGGAAGCUGGUCAUGUUUAUGAAGAGGUAACUAGAAGUGUUGUCUUUUUCCUAAAAAUACUCCUGGUGUGCUAUAAGAAGACAUCAUUCCCUUAUAUCUUUUUUCUUAUAUCUUUAGAAUGUAUCUUAUAAUCAAGAAUGUUAGAUUAAAAACUUGUCUGAAUGAUAAUAAUUUGAUGGUAUCCCUCCUUACAUACCUUCCCUCUUACUUUUUGGAAAGUUUAGUCUAGUCACAAGCCAGAAGUAGAGUGUGGCUUAUGUUUGGAUCUUAAGCAUCUCAUCUCUUUUAUACAGCUUUAUUAAUGUACAAAUGUGUUAUCACUGUGACAGAUGCAUCUUUGCUGAACUUCAGGUGUGCUAUUUAAUGCAAAAGCAAUGUUCCCAUUGAGAUUAUAACUUGUUUUAGAAAUGAAUUUUUGAUCAGAUUAUAAAUAGUGAAUAAAAAUAGAGGAUUUAUUUUUUCUAUAAUGUAUCUGAAAACCAUUAAAACAUUAAUUGCAUAAAUUUAACACUAUGGUCAAAUAGAGUGAUACCAGCAAACUGCUGAGUAAACUUGUUUGGUCUGUGAUCCAUGUUCAUAAUCUUUAAAUUCAAGUGACGUUUAAGAAGGUGAAAUAGGAAAGAACUAACCUCAAGGGUUGUGUGUGUCUUGCUUCUUAGCAGCUCUCAAUAUUUUACAGAGAACUAACAUCUUGAUAAUUAAAUUGCUUCCACAUCUGUGCAUCUGUGCAGUGGUAGCAGCAGGAUGCUGUCAUGUUGCAUAUAUUUAACAAAUUAAAUUUAAUUUACUUUUAUAUUUUCAUUAUGGAAAUUGCGCUCAUAUUAUUCAACAAGAAGUACCUCCAUGUGACAAUGAGACAAGAAAAUGCAAAACCAAAACUGAUUCUGAAUACUUGCACGCUGCAUAUGAAUUGUGCAUGGAGAGAAAUAUGGGACAUGCGAUAUGACUGUUAACAUUUCAAAGAAGAUUAUUCAUCACUAUGGGAGGCAUCACUCAUAUUUGGCUUCUCCAGAUCCUUGAGAGUGAAGGUCUGCAGCUCAGAAUUCAACUAGUUGUUUUCAGCUUUUGACAGACUGCCUUUAUGAAGCAGAAUCGAAGGCCUUUAAGUGCUUGUAGUGGAUCCCUCUGAGAAAUGUAUAAUUGGUGUGGCACUGGCCCGCUGUCUUUCUUCUGCCUGUAGGGUAUUUCAAAACGUAACUCUUAGAAGGGAAGAGGUUAUGAGGCCUGAAGAACUCUCAUGUAGCCUGAAGCACCAAAUACUGCUCUCUGAUCUUCAGGGCUUUGGGAAGCAGCUGCUUCAUGUCUUUUCCUCAUCCUAAACCUCAAAAAUCCAAAAAUGCUGAGUUUAAGCGGUGAAUGGCACUAUGUCCAGGUGGAGGCCAGUGAUGAGUGGUGUCCCCCAGGGGUCUGUCUUGGGACUGGUGCUCUUCAACACCUUCAUCAAUGACAAUGAUGACGGGCUCAAGUGCACUCUCAGCAAGUUUGCUGAUGAAACCAAGCUGAGUGGUGCAGCUGACACGUUAGAUGGAAGGGAUGCCAUCCAGAGAGACCUCAACAAACUUGAAAGGCCCUGCCCAUUUCUGAGAAAGAAAUGCAGGAAAUACCAAUGAAGGUGAGAGAAGGUAGGAAGAAAACUCAGGAAUUGUGAAUUUGUAUGAAGAAUUUGUCCUCCUGUCACUCCCAUGCUACUAAAGAAGAGCAGUUGUGUUAUGAAGCUGUGUUGCUCCACGCAGCUUAGUUCAGGGCAGUAUCGGCUUCUGAAUGAACCUUUCUUUAUUCAGGGAGACUGACUUUCCUGUGUUACUUGCAAAUAACAAUAAUUUUAUCAAAAGGACUGGCAAGGUUGCUAUAGAAACAACCAGAAGAGCUCCAAACUUCAGGUAAUUCUUCAAGUUAAAAGAAGACUCAAUUUCAAAACACCUGGACUUUCCUACUUAGAGAUUUAUUGCAUUGCUUUCCCAUUGAUUUUGAGAUAACUGUGCAUUCAUUUGUUGUACAAAAGGGAAGAGCUGAAAAAACUUUAACAGUACUGAUCUUUGGAAGCAUAUCAUCGUUCCCUUUGAUAGCACAAAUCGAGUAUUACUAGCUACUGUCUGUUUAACUUGUCUUGGGUCACUGCUGUAACUCAGCAACAACAGCAGUUUGUCAUCUACUAAGAGAAAGAAUGUCUAGAUUUAACUGUACCCUAUAAGGAAUUUAAAGACAGCACUGCAUCUCAUGGAUGUAUCACAUAUAUAAUGAAUUGCGAAACUGCUGUUCUAUGUUUCAAGGUGGCUGAAGUGCCUUGUGAUUAUGCUGUAUUCUUUCAAGUCCUCUGUUUACCAGUUCAGAUCUGUCAAGCAUCUGUGCCCUCUUAAACUUCAUAGUCUUCAACUCUGUUAAACAUCCAGUACUCUGGGACAUUUUGUUAGCAACGUGAGUAACUAAAACAUGAGGUCUGAAAAUCAGAAAUAAAUGUACAGGCAUGUCUACACCUGCUACUAAUGACUGGGAUGAGGUGAAGGAGUAAAUUCCAGAAGCUAGUUCCAGGGUAAAUAUUGCCCUUCCCUUUUCAUCUGACAUUAUCUGUAUUAUUUUAAUUAUCUGCAGACAGAGAUACAACAAUUAUCAAAAUAACCUGAGAUUUUAUUUGCGUUUUCUAUAUAUAUUUUUUCAAAUAAAAUUCUGUGGAAAAAUGCUGAUGACAACUAAAAAUCAAAAAGGAUAUGACUGAUUAAUACCAAAUCUUCUCUUCAAAUGUGGUUAUUAAAAGGUUAUUAAUUAUCUACUGCUAGUACUAAUUGUCAGUUGUUGUUGUGCUAGCUACAUUCAGAUUCAUAAUAAGGUGUACUUUAAUAGUGGAGACAAGUAACUGGUGGUAGAAAUUCCUUAGGGAUAUGGUGUAUUCUCUAACACUUGAAAUCUUUAAAUCAACACUGGAUGGUAUUCAAGGAGAUACUUUAUGUAAUACAGAAAAAUUAUGAUCUUGGUGCAAAAAUUAGUAUAUGAUUUAUCUGCUGUAGAGAAGGUUAGAAUAGAUUAUCACAAUAUUUAUUUUUGAGUUUAAAUUAUAUAACCUAAAAAUAAUUAGGUGUUGUUCAUUCUUAGUUGCUGAUUAGGAUAGUCAUGGCAAGCUUCCUAGGAUUUUGCUGAAUUGAAGAAAAUACAAAGCAGAUCAGGAAUGAAUAAGAUUCAAGUUUGAGCACUGUUUUCAGAAUUUAGGUUUCUACCAUAUAACUGUAUAAUCAUGAUUUGUACUUAAAAUGCCUUGGAUUCUAAUCUUUCAUAGAAGACUAUAAAAACACAGCAACCGAGCUCUAGCAAUUACUCAUUUCAGAGACCUAAAAAUAUUAUUUCUAGUUACAUAGAUUCCUUUUUAGCUAUAAAAAGUAAAAAAAUUAUUUGUAUUCUACUUUGUCAGUGGUUUCCCACAAGAAUUUAUAGGUCAGGUCCACUAUCAGCUAAAAUUAAUUAUACCUGACAUUUCUAGUAGAGUAUUCAAAAUUGUAUAAAUUAUAUUUCUAAAGGAAAGUUCCACAGGUAUGAAAACAAACACUGAAAAGUUUACAGCAGCUGCUGGAAAGAAGGGUGAUAGGACAGCAUACCUGAUCAUGAUAUUGUCGUUAUUUUUGCAGUUUCCAAUAUAAGACCUUAUUUUAAAGGUUUAUUUUCCGAUUGUUAAAUCCAAGAUAAAAGAGACUAAGGCUUCAGACAAAAAAGAAAAACAUUAUUUUUACUUUGAGCCUGUGUGGAAAGAAGAAGGAAAGAAGAAAAAGAAUUAUUUGGGACAAUUCUGAGUUGUUAAAAAAAGCACUUUACUUAUUAUGAAGCUGCUUCAAGUUGUUUUUUGCUCCCAAAUGGAAGUAGAGCUUUCUAAAUUGGCUUGAAAAACUAUUUUUACUCUGAUAUACCUUUCUGUGCGGUUACCUUAUUUUCUUUUAUACAAAUUUAAAAGCUUUAAGAAAUUACUUGUUAGAACUGAUAACUUGUUUUACUCAAAAUAUAGAUCUAUUUUUAACAGUAGGUUAUUUCUUUUCCAUUAAAUGUUUCCAUUUUAGUUCACUUAUAUACCACAAAAAUGUCACCUGUACUUUCACUCCCCUUUGCUAAUAGACAUUUAUACAUUAGUAUAUUGUGCUGACUUAGAGAGUGUCAUGAUUUUAAUCAAAGUUCCUGCAUAGUAAAGACUAGAGAAUUUUCUUACGUAAAAUUUCCUUGAAGUAUAACUGAUGGAAAAUUCACAACAAGUGUUGAUUUUUCCUCUGCUUAAUUAUACUCACUGAUAAAAACCUCAGUUUUAUUGCUACCCUGAAAUUUGUUUGGCCUUUCAAUCUUCUUAUUCUUUUAUGUGCUAUGAUGAAGAGCCACCUGUCAUAAUUUUUCUAUUCUCUAAGUGUAUUUACAGACUUUGAUCAAGUCAUGACUUAACUGUCCUUUUGCCAAGUUAAUUUAUUUUUUAUUUAUUUUUCCAGUGUAAAUGGUGGUAGGCAAGGGUGACACAAAUGUGGAACAAGAUGGAGAGCAUAAUCACUGCUGACUUCAUACAAUAUUGUCAUCAUCAGUAAAACCAGUGGACUGUAUGAAAAUCCAGUUUUAUUCAGACAGCCAUAUUGGAAAUAUGUCAGGGAUAUUUGGCAACAUGUGGCAGAGUCAUUUCCCUUUUUGGGUGACCCAUGCAAAACCCAGACAUAGUUGAAAAUCUUGGACUCAGGAUAUCAAGGGAACUUCUUAUCUCUUAAAGCAAAUAUGCCUUAUAUGUACCAUACAUUAUUUUUCUGGACCCAGGACUAAUAUAAACCCAGAGUAAUUUCAAGACUUGACUCUGGACAUCCAUAAUGCCUAUGUAACCUGCAGCAUUGAGAAUCUAAGAAGUAUUCCCAAAAUGCUAUGAUUUUGAGAAUGAUCACAGGAUCCUCAGAGUUGGGAGGGACCUCUGAAGGCCAUGUUGUCCAACUCCCCUGCAAUGAACAGGGACACCACAGCUAGAUCAGGUUGCCCAGGGCCUGAUCCAACCUUUCCUUGAAAGUCUCCAGGGAUGGGCAUCAAGCACAUCUCUGGGCAACCUGUUCCAGUGCCUCACCACCCUCACUGUAAAAGACUUUUUCUUUAUAUCCUUCUUUAUGCUUGAAAAAAGCUUAAAGAUAAAUGCAAAAGAAUGCAUUUAUCUGUGACUGAUGAUGUCAUAUAAAAGUAGAUGGGAUAUAUGAUCACAGAGGUCGUGCUUGUUCCAGCCAAGCCAAUAUGUGUAUGAAAGCUAACUAAACCUGAGUGAGUCCUUGAGGUGUUCAUUCCUUGCUCCCAUUUCAGAUGCUCUAGGCAGUUUGCCCUAUGUCCCUCUGUGGGUAGAUUUGAAAAGUGUGACCUUAGCAAAACUUUUUAUAACAGAGUGGAGAUAUCCUUUGGGUCCUAAAGGAAUAGAUGUAAUUGAAGCAUGGCCACAGUCUGCUAGAAAGUAGGACCACAGCACACAAAAAAUGUGAGCACUGGAAAGUGCCACAGUGAAUUAAACAAAUUCCAUCAAUUUGAGUAAUUUCUGAAAUGAAAUGUAUUUUUGGACUAUUGCACUAUUCAUAUCACCUUGCACUGAAAUUAUGGAAAAAGCAUAGUUCAUUUGUUGAAUGUAACUUUCUUUUUCCCUUAAAAAAUGUCUGGGUCUAUGUUAUAUUUUUAGUGCUCUAGCUUAAUAUUUUCACUAACUUAUUUUGCCCCAAGUAAUGUGAAUGUAAUUAAAAUGAACUUUCUGUUAAUAUUUUCAUCAGUCAGGCUUGAUCAGUUCAUGUUUUUUGAAUGGAAAUCAUUUAAUAAUCUGAUCAGUGAGUUGAUGGGAUAAUUCUGAACGUAAAUUAUUUACAGAAUUCCUUUUUAAUACCAGGCAAUAUGUUUAUAAAUAAUCAUAGAAUCAUAGAAUGCCCUGGGUUGAAAGGGACCUUAAGGAUAACCAAGUUCCAACCACCCUACCACGGACAGGGUUGCCACCCACUAGAUCAAGCUGCAUGGGGCUCUGUUCAACCUGGCCUUGAACAAAGAAAGCAGAAGGAGUUACUCAGACAAACCAAACUACCUAUCUAUUAGUUCAAGAAUAAACAUUUAACUCUGUUGCUCUACAAACACACACUUAUAAAUGCAGUUGUUCAUAAAAAGUGGUACAGAGAUGCACUUCAGAGUAGAGUUAUGGUCAAGACUUUUUUGAUCUUGAAAAUUCCUCAGGAGAGAAACUCACAAACUAUCCUCGCAUUCCUGGAAGAUUAGGUAGUAGAGAAAAUGGUAUCUUGUAAAAAGCUUAUCAUUUUGAUCAACACUUUUCUAAGACACCACUUCAAAAUAAGAUUAUAUAAGCUUUAAAUAGUUUUAAAAAAUCUUUUAACUUUUGUUUUUAAUUUCAAGGAAAAAAUUGGUCUCUUGCAAUUCUUACUGAUUUUCCUCAGCUAGAAAAAUUAAUGUGCAAAGCAAAUAUUUGUUAUGUUUUAGGUAACAGAAAUAUGCAUACAGUUUAACUGUGUACAUAAAAUAGGCAAAUCAGUGUCUUCAGUAACAUCUAAACAUUAAAAUUGUGUUGUAAUGAAAAGAUAUGAUUCUCUGUUUUCCAUUUCAUUAGUAAAACUAUAAUUUUAUGAUC
This is a long non-coding RNA of Numida meleagris (helmeted guineafowl), 8137 nucleotides long. RefSeq lists it as uncharacterized. The record is from RefSeq and is a predicted model, not a curated record. Lineage: Eukaryota; Metazoa; Chordata; Aves; Galliformes; Numididae. The transcript has 5 exons.